RNAcentral lists this transfer RNA (64 nucleotides) under Dipodomys ordii (Ord's kangaroo rat). It matches the Rfam family "tRNA". Rfam says of the family: Transfer RNA (tRNA) molecules are approximately 80 nucleotides in length. Their secondary structure includes four short double-helical elements and three loops (D, anti-codon, and T loops). Further hydrogen bonds mediate the characteristic L-shaped molecular structure. tRNAs have two regions of fundamental functional importance: the anti-codon, which is responsible for specific mRNA codon recognition, and the 3' end, to which the tRNAs corresponding amino acid is attached (by aminoacyl-tRNA synthetases). tRNAs cope with the degeneracy of the genetic code in two manners: having more than one tRNA (with a specific anti-codon) for a particular amino acid; and 'wobble' base-pairing, i.e. permitting non-standard base-pairing at the 3rd anti-codon position. Lineage: Eukaryota; Metazoa; Chordata; Mammalia; Rodentia; Heteromyidae. The record is from Rfam by way of RNAcentral.
GGGAAGUUGGCUCAGUGGUAGAGUGUUUGCCUUGCAGGCAUGAGGCCCUGGGUUUGAUUUCUCA